ACUAUAGAGCUAGCCAAAACAAUUUAAUAUCCCCUCACUAUUACUUAAUAUAUAAACAAUCACUUUCCCCUUAAAACAUUUUAUCCCUCCUAGUAUAGGCGACAGAACAGAAACCCUUGAGCUAUAGAGACAGUACCGCAAGGAAAAGCUGAAAGAGAAGUGAAAUAAAUCAUUAAAGUACAAAAAAGCAGAGACUUACCCUCGUACCUUUUGCAUCAUGAUUUAGCAAGAACAACUAGACAAAAAGCUUUUUUAGUCUAUCUUCCCGAAACUAAACGAGCUACUUCGGAGCAGCAUAUUAGAGCCAACUCACCUCUGUGGCAAAAGAGGGAGAAGACUCCCAAGUAGCGGUGACAAGCCUACCGAGUUUAGUGAUAGCUGGUUAUCCAAAAAAAGAACUUAAAUUCUGCAUUAAUUUCUUCAACACGGUGAACAAAAACUUCUUAGAGAAUAAACCCACUUGUAAAAAUUAAUAGUUAUUCAAAAAAGGUACAGCUUUUUUGAACUAAGAAACAACUUUAUUAGGAGGGUAAUGAUUAUAAUAUUUAAAGGACAACUCCUCAGUGGGCCCGAAAGCAGCCACCUGUAAAGAAAGCGUCACAGCUCAAGCCUCCCAUAAACCCAACAAUCCCUAUAAGCAACUCAAAACCCCCUAAAUAUUUAUUGGAUUAUUUUAUUAAACUAUAAAAGAAAUUAUGCUAAAAUGAGUAAAUAAGGGGUUAACCCCCUCCCACACACUAGUGUAAGUCAGAAAGAAUUAAAUCACUGAUAAUUAACCGAUGCCAAAAUUGAGGCCCUUGUGAUAUAAAAAUUUAUAACAAGAAAAACCCACCCAAACCAUCGUUAACCCUACACAGGAGUGUUAAUCAGGGAAAGAUUAAAAGAAAAUAAAGGAACUCGGCAAACACAAACUCCGCCUGUUUACCAAAAACAUCGCCUCUUGCUCAAAUAUAACUGUAUAAGAGGUCCCGCCUGCCCUGUGAUUUUUUAACGGCCGCGGUAUCUUGACCGUGCGAAGGUAGCGUAAUCAAUUGUCUUUUAAUUAAAGGCCCGUAUGAAAGGCAUCACGAGAGUUUAACUGUCUUUAUUUCCUAAUCAAUGAAAUUGAUCAUCUCGUGCAGAACCGAGAAUAAAUACAUAAGACGAGAAGACCCUAUGGAGCUUCAAACACUUAAGUUACCUUAACACUAAAAAUUACACCCCAGGGUAUAAAAACCAGAAAUAACCUCUAACUUAACUUGUUUUCGGUUGGGGCGACCAAGGAGUAAAACAAAACCUCCUUAUCGAAUGUGUGAGAAAUCACUCAAAAUUAGAAUUACAAUUCUAAUUAAUAGAAAAUCUAACGAACAAUGACCCAGGACCUCAUCCUGAUCAAUGAACCAAGUUACCCUAGGGAUAACAGCGCAAUCCUUUCCUAGAGCUCCCAUCGCCGAAAGGGUUUACGACCUCGAUGUUGGAUCAGGACAUCCUAAUGGUGUAGCCGCUAUUAAGGGUUCGUUUGUUCAACGAUUAAUAGUCCUACGUGAUCUGAGUUCAGACCGGAGCAAUCCAGGUCAGUUUCUAUCUAUGAUGGUAUUCUUCCCAGUACGAAAGGACCGGAAAAAUGAAGCCUAUACCUAAAGGCACGCUUCAACCCAACCUGUUGAAACCAACUCAACCAGGUAAAGAGUGCCAACCCCUAAGCCAAAGAGAAUGGUUU
RNAcentral lists this ribosomal RNA (1699 nucleotides) under Neotrygon kuhlii (spotted stingray). Its description in RNAcentral is "16S ribosomal RNA". The stretch from base 93 to 1618 matches the Rfam family "Bacterial large subunit ribosomal RNA". The record is from RNAcentral. Lineage: Eukaryota; Metazoa; Chordata; Chondrichthyes; Myliobatiformes; Dasyatidae.